CAGUCGAACGAGUUCUCGUUGAUGAUCGGUGCUUGCACCGAGAUUCAACAUGGAACGAGUGGCGGACGGGUGAGUAACACGUGGGUAACCUGCCCUUAAGUGGGGGAUAACAUUUGGAAACAGAUGCUAAUACCGCAUAGAUCCAAGAACCGCAUGGUUCUUGGCUGAAAGAUGGCGUAAGCUAUCGCUUUUGGAUGGACCCGCGGCGUAUUAGCUAGUUGGUGAGGUAACGGCUCACCAAGGCGAUGAUACGUAGCCGAACUGAGAGGUUGAUCGGCCACAUUGGGACUGAGACACGGCCCAAACUCCUACGGGAGGCAGCAGUAGGGAAUCUUCCACAAUGGACGCAAGUCUGAUGGAGCAACGCCGCGUGAGUGAAGAAGGCUUUCGGGUCGUAAAACUCUGUUGUUGGAGAAGAAUGGUCGGCAGAGUAACUGUUGUCGGCGUGACGGUAUCCAACCAGAAAGCCACGGCUAACUACGUGCCAGCAGCCGCGGUAAUACGUAGGUGGCAAGCGUUAUCCGGAUUUAUUGGGCGUAAAGCGAGCGCAGGCGGUUUUUUAAGUCUGAUGUGAAAGCCCUCGGCUUAACCGAGGAAGCGCAUCGGAAACUGGGAAACUUGAGUGCAGAAGAGGACAGUGGAACUCCAUGUGUAGCGGUGAAAUGCGUAGAUAUAUGGAAGAACACCAGUGGCGAAGGCGGCUGUCUGGUCUGUAACUGACGCUGAGGCUCGAAAGCAUGGGUAGCGAACAGGAUUAGAUACCCUGGUAGUCCAUGCCG
Molecule: ribosomal RNA, 779 nt
Filed under: uncultured bacterium
Lineage: Bacteria
Description: bacterial SSU rRNA
Rfam family: Bacterial small subunit ribosomal RNA
Source: RNAcentral